CCACACACGAGAGUGCCUAGGGAUUACCGAGAAUGGUGAGACAAACAAAAAACACCCAGUCAGCGUCAGUCCUAUGGGCGAAAACAUUGACGAGAGGUCGAAGGAGAAUGGCAAGAAUCAUGCAAGCUAACAGGCGGGCCACAAACAGACAACGGUGUCCAGACAACAGUGUCCAGACAACAGUGUCCACACCUAUCAGCUAAAAUCAAGAAGAAGUGGCUCCAGUGAAAAUGCGAUCACCAACACUGGACAACUGAGGAGUGGAAAAACAUUGCCUGGUCCAAUUAAUUCUGGUGUACUGUUGUCUGGAUUUGGACACAUCCUGUCUGGUACAGGUUGGUGGUGUGCUGUUGUCUGGAUUUGGACACAUCCUGUCUGGUACAGGUUGGUGGUGUACUGUUGUCUGGAUUUGGACACAUCCUGUCUGGUACAGGUUGGUGGUGUACUGUUGUCUGGAUUUGGACACAUCCUGUCUGGUACAGGUUGGUGGUGUACUGUUGUCUGGAUUUGGACACAUCCUGUCUGGUACAGGUUGGUGGUGUACUGUUGUCUGGAUUUGGACACAUCCUGUCUGGUACAGGUUGGUGGUGUACUGUUGUCUGGAUUUGGACACAUCCUGUCUGGUACAGGUUGGUGGUGUACUGUUGUCUGGAUUUGGACACAUCCUGUCUGGUACAGGUUGGUGGUGUACUGUUGUCUGGAUUUGGACACAUCCUGUCUGGUACAGGUUGGUGGUGUACUGUUGUCUGGAUUUGGACACAUCCUGUCUGGUACAGGUUGGUGGUGUACUGUUGUCUGGAUUUGGACACAUCCUGUCUGGUACAGGUUGGUGGUGUACUGUUGUCUGGAUUUGGACACAUCCUGUCUGGUACAGGUUGGUGGUGUACUGUUGUCUGGAUUUGGACACAUCCUGUCUGGUACAGGAUGUGUGGGGAAUGUUUUUCUGGCACAUGUUAGGUCCCUUGAUACCAAUUGAGCAACGCAUGGUACUAAAUGUGUGUACCUAAUAAACUGGUAUUGUAUAAAUAAAACACAGGAAAAUCCUAUUUUGGACUAGCCUCAGGAUAGUGUAAAUCCUAUCCAUGUAAUGUGUUCUAACCACUGAAACCUCCAGUUGUUGUGCGUCAGUAUGUUGGUGUUUGUAUGUGUAUGUUUUAUUUUGUAUUGUUUGAAAAAAAUAAUAAUACUGUAUUUAAAAAGGAAUCCUUACAGUAUAAGUGUGUGUGAGU
This is a long non-coding RNA of Oncorhynchus keta (chum salmon), 1229 nucleotides long. RefSeq lists it as uncharacterized. The record is from RefSeq and is a predicted model, not a curated record. The transcript is spliced from 3 exons. NCBI's taxonomy places the organism in Eukaryota, Metazoa, Chordata, Actinopteri, Salmoniformes, Salmonidae.